This 209-nucleotide ribosomal RNA is filed under the name uncultured bacterium. RNAcentral describes it as "partial 16S ribosomal RNA". It matches the Rfam family "Bacterial small subunit ribosomal RNA", at positions 524 to 731 of the family's 1533-position model. The record is from RNAcentral.
UACGUAGGGUGCAAGCGUUAAUCGGAAUUACUGGGCGUAAAGCGUGCGCAGGCGGUGAUGUAAGACAGAUGUGAAAUCCCCGGGCUCAACCUGGGAACUGCAUUUGUGACUGCAUCGCUGGAGUGCGGCAGAGGGGGAUGGAAUUCCGCGUGUAGCAGUGAAAUGCGUAGAUAAUGCGGAGGAACACCGAUGGCGAAGGCAAUCCCCUG